GACGAACGCUGGCGGCGUGCCUAAUACAUGCAAGUAGAACGCUGAAGGCGGAGCUUGCUUCUCUGGAUGAGUUGCGAACGGGUGAGUAACGCGUAGGUAACCUGCCUGGUAGCGGGGGAUAACUAUUGGAAACGAUAGCUAAUACCGCAUAAUAGUAGAUGUUGCAUGACAUUUGCCUAAAAGGUGCAAUUGCAUCACUACCAGAUGGCCCUGCGUUGUAUUAGCUAGUUGGUGGGGUAACGGCUCACCAAGGCGACGAUACAUAGCCGACCUGAGAGGGUGAUCGGCCACACUGGGACUGAGACACGGCCCAGACUCCUACGGGAGGCAGCAGUAGGGAAUCUUCGGCAAUGGACGGAAGUCUGACCGAGCAACGCCGCGUGAGUGAAGAAGGUUGUCGGAUCGUAAAGCUCUGUUGUAAGAGAAGAACGAGUGUGAGAGUGGAAAGUUCACACUGUGACGGUAUCUGACCAGAAAGGGACGGCUAACUACGUG
RNAcentral lists this ribosomal RNA (495 nucleotides) under uncultured bacterium. Its description in RNAcentral is "partial 16S ribosomal RNA". It matches the Rfam family "Bacterial small subunit ribosomal RNA", at positions 28 to 507 of the family's 1533-position model. The record is from RNAcentral.